This 66-nucleotide microRNA precursor is filed under the name Bombyx mori (domestic silkworm). RNAcentral describes it as "mir-2774 microRNA precursor family". It matches the Rfam family "mir-2774 microRNA precursor family". The record is from Rfam by way of RNAcentral. Lineage: Eukaryota; Metazoa; Arthropoda; Insecta; Lepidoptera; Bombycidae.
ACAACAUUUGGACCGUCGGUCUACCGAGCAAUAUCACCCGCUCAGUGGAAGAUCUUCUUCUGUCAU